AGUGAACGCUGGCGGUAGGCCUAACACAUGCAAGUCGAACGGCAGCACAGUAAGAGCUUUCCCCUACUGGUGACGAGUGGCGUACGGGUGAGGUAUCCAGCGGUAUCUACUUUUUCGUGGGGGAUAACGUGGGGCUACUUACGCUAAUACCUCAUACGACCUACGGGUGGAUUCAGAAGAUCUUCGGACCUUGGGCGAAUGAAUGAGCCGAUGUCGGGUUAGCUAGUUGGCGGGGUAAAGGCCCACCAAGGCGACGAUCCGUAGCUGGUCUGAGGGGAGGAAGAGCGACAGAGGAAGUGAGACGCGAUACUGGCUCUGACGGGAGGCACAAAUGGGGAAGAUUGGAAGAUGGGCGGAAGCCUGAUCCAGGCAUACCGGGUGGAUGAAGAAGGCCUGCGGGUUGUAAAGCCCUUUUGUUGGGGAAGAAAAGCAGCAGGUUAAUAGCCCGCUGUUCUGACGGUACCCAAAGAAUAAGCACCGGCUAACUUCGUG
RNAcentral lists this ribosomal RNA (492 nucleotides) under uncultured bacterium. Its description in RNAcentral is "partial 16S ribosomal RNA". It matches the Rfam family "Bacterial small subunit ribosomal RNA", at positions 29 to 507 of the family's 1533-position model. The record is from RNAcentral.